This 739-nucleotide small RNA is filed under the name Pan troglodytes (chimpanzee). RNAcentral describes it as "processed transcript". The record is from RNAcentral. Lineage: Eukaryota; Metazoa; Chordata; Mammalia; Primates; Hominidae.
AGCUGACCAUGGAAGCGAAUGGGUUGGGACCUCAGGGUUUUCCGGAGCUGAAGAAUGACACAUUCCUGCGAGCAGCCUGGGGAGAGGAAACAGACUACACUCCCGUUUGGUGCAUGCGCCAGGCAGGCCGUUACUUACCAGAGUUUAGGGAAACCCGGGCUGCCCAGGACUUUUUCAGCACGUGUCGCUCUCCUGAGGCCUGCUGUGAACUGACUCUGCAGGUGAGGGGUCCACAAAAGAGGGAAAGAUUUAUGCCUUCAGUCUGCCACCUAGCAACCUGUCUCCUGUUUCCUACAGCCACUGCGUCGAUUCCCUCUGGAUGCUGCCAUCAUUUUCUCCGACAUCCUUGUUGUACCCCAGAUGUUUUCUCCCCCUCCAGGCACUGGGCAUGGAGGUGACCAUGGUACCUGGCAAAGGACCCAGCUUCCCAGAGCCAUUAAGAGAAGAGCAGGACCUAGAACGCCUACGGGAUCCAGAAGUGGUAGCCUCUGAGCUAGGCUAUGUGUUCCAAGCCAUCACCCUUACCCGACAACGACUGGCUGGACGUGUGCCGCUGAUUGGCUUUGCUGGUGCCCCAUGGACCCUGAUGACAUACAUGGUUGAGGGUGGUGGCUCAAGCACCAUGGCUCAGGCCAAGCGCUGGCUCUAUCAGAGACCUCAGGCUAGUCACCAGCUGCUUCGCAUCCUCACCGAUGCUCUGGUCCCAUAUCUGGUAGGACAAGUGGCGGCUGGUGCCCAG